RNAcentral lists this ribosomal RNA (854 nucleotides) under Neohelicosporium guangxiense. RNAcentral describes it as "LSU rRNA". It matches the Rfam family "Eukaryotic large subunit ribosomal RNA", at positions 64 to 944 of the family's 3401-position model. Lineage: Eukaryota; Fungi; Ascomycota; Dothideomycetes; Tubeufiales; Tubeufiaceae. The record is from RNAcentral.
ACCAACAGGGAUUGCCUCAGUAACGGCGAGUGAAGCGGCAACAGCUCAAAUUUGAAAUCUGGCUUCGGUCCGAGUUGUAAUUUGUAGAGGAUGCUUCGGCUUACGUACCGGUCUAAGUUCCUUGGAACAGGACGUCACAGAGGGUGAGAAUCCCGUUUGUGGCCGGCACUUCCGCCAUGUGAAGCUCCUUCGACGAGUCGAGUUGUUUGGGAAUGCAGCUCUAAAUGGGAGGUAAAUUUCUUCUAAAGCUAAAUACCGGCCAGAGACCGAUAGCGCACAAGUAGAGUGAUCGAAAGAUGAAAAGCACUUUGGAAAGAGAGUUAAAAAGUACGUGAAAUUGUUGAAAGGGAAGCGCUUGCGACCAGACUUGCCCGCGGAUGCUCAACCGGUCCUUCGGCCGGUGCACUCUUCCGCGGUCAGGCCAGCAUCAGUUCGGGCGGUCGGAUAAAGGCCUUGGGAAUGUGGCUCUCUUCGGGGAGUGUUAUAGCCCUUGGUGCAAUACGGCCCGCCUGGACUGAGGCCCGCGCUUCGGCUAGGAUGCUGGCGUAAUGGUCGUAAGCGGCCCGUCUUGAAACACGGACCAAGGAGUCUAACAUCUAUGCGAGUGUUUGGGUGUCAAACCCGUGCGCGAAAUGAAAGUGAACGGAGGUGGGAACCUUAGGGUGCACCAUCGACCGAUCCUGAUGUCUUCGGAUGGAUUUGAGUAAGAGCAUAGCUGUUGGGACCCGAAAGAUGGUGAACUAUGCCUGAAUAGGGUGAAGCCAGAGGAAACUCUGGUGGAGGCUCGCAGCGGUUCUGACGUGCAAAUCGAUCGUCAAAUUUGGGUAUAGGGGCGAAAGACUAAUCGAACCAUC